GUGUUCACUUCGGCAGCACAUAUACACAAAUUGGAACUAUACAGAGAAGGUUAGCAUGGCCCCUGUGCAGGAUGACAUGCAAAUUUGCGAAGCAUUCCACAUUUUU
This is a small nuclear RNA of Homo sapiens (human), 106 nucleotides long. Lineage: Eukaryota; Metazoa; Chordata; Mammalia; Primates; Hominidae. The record is from Ensembl.